GAGGGUAGAAAAGACUCCAGGGUCAGACAUUCAGCUGACCAGACACAGUUAUUGGCUGCCCAUUGGAACGCCCUUUGGCAUCCCUCCUGGCCUCCAGCUGCUGCUCCAGAGGUUGACAAAUCUCCGCGUUUGAGCAUCCAUCUGAUUCAGAGAAUAAUGCUGGAAUUUGGCUUUCUGAGGAGGUAUCCUGCAGCUGGCAUCUGUCCAGGCGUCUUCAAUGAACCACUCAUUCCGAAUAAAUUUAAUCACCCUCUUCAGAGUUUUCGGUUUUGCUUAAUUUGUAUAAAUAACUUGCACCUCUAAUUAGCUUCCACUUCGUAUCAAAUACAAUAAUUGAGAUAAUUUUGUCA
Molecule: long non-coding RNA, 350 nt
Filed under: Struthio camelus australis
Lineage: Eukaryota; Metazoa; Chordata; Aves; Struthioniformes; Struthionidae
Description: lncRNA (ENSSCUG00000003911.1)
Source: RNAcentral